RNAcentral lists this unclassified non-coding RNA (364 nucleotides) under fungal sp. Its description in RNAcentral is "partial internal transcribed spacer region". The stretch from base 1 to 46 matches the Rfam family "Eukaryotic small subunit ribosomal RNA", at positions 1786 to 1831 of the family's 1831-position model. Lineage: Eukaryota; Fungi. The record is from RNAcentral.
AAGUCGUAACAAGGUUUCCGUAGGUGAACCUGCGGAAGGAUCAUUAACAAAAUAUUCUUACUUUGCUUGGGAUUUUAUCUCGAGUAAAGUGAAUAUGGAUUUAAUCCAUCCAUAUCCACCCCAUUGUGCACCGUUAUCCUGUCUUUUGCUUUUCCGGUGGUUCUCAGUUUCUGCUUUUUGGUCGAAGAAAGUAUUUUUUGAUCAUAAAAGUGCGACUUCCCACCGGGCGGCAUUACUUUUAAACCCCAGUUAAUUUUUCCAAGUCAUUUAAAAUUUUUUUUCUCUUUGCAAUUUAAAACCUGCAUCCUGAAAAAGAAAAAAUUGUAAUCAAAUACAACUUUCAACAAUGGAUCUCUUGGCUCUC